UUCUGUGGAAGGCGUGGAAGAG
This 22-nucleotide unclassified non-coding RNA is filed under the name Mus musculus (house mouse). Its description in RNAcentral is "oocyte_clustered_small_RNA8451". The record is from RNAcentral. Lineage: Eukaryota; Metazoa; Chordata; Mammalia; Rodentia; Muridae.